CCCCUGAUUACCCCUCCAUCAAUGCUGACCUGGAAAUCUCACACCAAGCUUCCCUGUGCAGGCUGGCUAAUUAAGAACUUGGUUGUUCCACCUUUGCCUUGGAGAGAAGCGGAUGGCGGGGCUGCCCCAAAGAGGUGGCCUCUUUAUGGAGAAGGGUCCUGGAAAGAGAUCAGGCGUGUAUGAUUCUUCAUGGAAAUGUAGAUAUAGAUAAGAAUUGUAUUGGACUUAACCCUUGCAUGUUUUCAACAAAAAUACUGCAGUCUCCCAUCGGAGAAGAGGCUUACCAUACAGAGAACAUUUGUUGAACUUUGUGUCAGGCAUGGGGCCUUCUUUCAAUGCUCAUGCCACCCCUUGAAUGAGGGCUUAUGGGAUGCAGAAAGAGGGAACUUCUGACUCCUGGGACCAACAACCCUCAGCCUCACCGCCAAGAAGGCUUUCUGCUAUCGUGAUAAAAAGGCAAGGGGUGUGCCUGCGCUUGACCAGCAAGCCCAGAGCAGGCACAAGAUGGAAACAUUGUCUCCAAGUCUCAACCACAGCUUUGUAGGUUUCUCUUGUUUGCCCUGGGAUGGGAUUUGGUAUCUGAGCUUCUGUUCUGCGCCUGGAGGGAUUCUCAGUCUAUGACCAGGUCAUUUUCUCUGCCCCGCUCCUCUGUGCCCUUGAUUUGGUCUCCAUCUCUCUCGGUAUCUUUUCUUUUUCCUGCCUCCUCCACACCCCCAUCUCUUCCCCUGAAUUGUCAAUAGUAUGUAAGCAAGAGUUAUAUUGAUACGCCUCAUUCUUUGAAGAGUUUUAUAUUCAUAAUUAUAACUUUUCAUUUUAUUCUCAAAAAUAAAUGAAUAAACAAGUAAAGCA
RNAcentral lists this long non-coding RNA (849 nucleotides) under Ursus maritimus (polar bear). Its description in RNAcentral is "lncRNA (ENSUMAG00000025380.1)". The record is from RNAcentral. Lineage: Eukaryota; Metazoa; Chordata; Mammalia; Carnivora; Ursidae.